GAUGAACGCUGGCGGCGUGCCUAACACAUGCAAGUCGAACGGAGUCCAGCCUUUAAGACCUUCGGGUCAAAGAGGGGAAGCCUGAGUGGCGGACGGGUGAGUAACACGUGGGCAACCUGGCUCAUAGAGGGGGAUAACAGAGAGAAGUUUCUGCUAAUACCGCAUAAGCACACACUGCCGCAUGGCAGAGGGUGAAAAGAGAAUCGCUAUGAGAUGGACCCGCGUCUGAUUAGCCAGUUGGCAGGGUAAGAGCCUACCAAAGCGACGAUCAGUAGCCGAUCUGAGAGGAUGAACGGCCACAUUGGGACUGAGACACGGCCCAAACUCCUACGGGAGGCAGCAGUGGGGGAUAUUGCACAAUGGGGGGAACCCUGAUGCAGCGACGCCGCGUGAGUGAAGAAGUAUUUCGGUAUGUAAAGCUCUAUCAGCAGGGAAGAUAAUGACAGUACCUGAAUAAGAAGCCCCGGCUAACUACGUG
This 478-nucleotide ribosomal RNA is filed under the name uncultured bacterium. RNAcentral describes it as "partial 16S ribosomal RNA". It matches the Rfam family "Bacterial small subunit ribosomal RNA", at positions 28 to 507 of the family's 1533-position model. The record is from RNAcentral.